Non-coding RNA from Camelina sativa (false flax), 780 nucleotides. NCBI's taxonomy places the organism in Eukaryota, Viridiplantae, Streptophyta, Magnoliopsida, Brassicales, Brassicaceae. The record is from RefSeq and is a predicted model, not a curated record.
CUUUCGUUUAGGGCUUCUUUAGCAGUCUCUUUGUUUCAUCUUCUUCGGUAUUGAUCUGAUUUGCUUUCUGCUACAGAUUAUAAAAAAUGGCAUGGCGCAGUGCUGCUCGCUCUUUCGUCUCCGCAACUGCUAGAGCUCCGUCUCUCCGAUCUCCGCCGGCAACGCUUCCUCGCCUCCGUCCUUCCCAAUCCUCUUUACCCCGCCGCCGAUUCGCCUCUUUCACUAAUCUCAGGAAUUUGGGAGAGCUUGGAUGCACAGAGUCUUUCUUGCCUCUGUACAAUGUAGUGUCUGCAGCUCGACUCACAUCUCACCUUAAUGUCAAUCUCCGAGCUUUCUGCGAGCUCUCUAACGGUACCUUCCCACGCACUUGUCAAGAUCGCUAAUUACUCUUCAUUUGGAAUGGAAAAGAUGGGUGAUGGAAGUGGAUUUUCAGUCGCUGUCAAGAGAGGUGCUACUGCUUUUGUACUUAGAAUGCGCAAAGUGGAUGCAUCAGUAAUCUUGAAGCGGAUACUUGGAAAAAGGGGGUGUACCAAGAAGAACUCAUUGGUUGUUUUGUCCUUCAUUAGGAACCAAAAACGACUUACAUUUAUUUGAUUUUUCUUCACAUUUGACAAUUUCCAGUUUUAGAAUGUCUGGUUUUCUCUUCAUAUUUCCAGUUAGAUUCAGCUUUUCUUUCAGCAUAUUCCUGAAAGACCAUUGUUUCAUCUUGUAAUUUAUAAUGUUACUUAAAUCUCUUCAAGUACUAUUUUCUGAAAGGAAUUAAAAGAAAACUUUCUUUUA